This is a long non-coding RNA of Pongo pygmaeus (Bornean orangutan), 680 nucleotides long. RefSeq lists it as uncharacterized. The record is from RefSeq and is a predicted model, not a curated record. Lineage: Eukaryota; Metazoa; Chordata; Mammalia; Primates; Hominidae. The transcript has 3 exons.
AGCAGUGUCCAAUACAUGGUGCUGUUUCUCCCAUAGCCAGAAUUCACAGGUCCAGAAAUCAAGGGGUGGAAGUGGAAGUGGCACCACUCACCAUCACCCCUAGUAACCCACUAGCAAAAUUUUUGCUUCCUGCUCCUGUGACAUUAUGUUCUGCUGGCCUAGAGGUCUUUGUUCCAGAGGGAGGAAUGCUGCCACCUGGAGACACAACAACGAUUUCAUUAAACUGGGAGUUAAGAUUGCCAUCUGGACACUUUGGGCUCCUCCUACAUUUAAGUCAACAGGCUAUGAAGGGGGUAACUGUGUUGGCUGGGGUGAUUGACCUGGACUAUCAAGAUGAAAUCAGUAUACUACUCCACAAUGGAGUAUGCUCCCUGAACAUAAAUGAACUCAAAGAACAAAUCAUCUGAGAGAACACCUGAUCUACAUGUAUACAUACAUCCCAAAUCUGCUCUUCUGACUCUCCAUCAGUGCAUGUCAAUACCAUCCAAGUUAUGACUCAAGAUGGAAACAAGAAAGUCAUCCUUCACAUUUGCCUACCCCUUAAUUUUCGUAGAGUCUCUUAAAGAUUAUUCCUGAAAUAUCUCUCAAAUUUGUCUUUUUUGAUUACAACCUUACUGACAUUGCAGUAAGUUAGAAACUCAACAUCUGUAGUCUAAACCGUUAAAAUAACUGCUUGACUU